RNAcentral lists this ribosomal RNA (433 nucleotides) under uncultured bacterium. Its description in RNAcentral is "bacterial SSU rRNA". It matches the Rfam family "Bacterial small subunit ribosomal RNA", at positions 28 to 460 of the family's 1533-position model. The record is from RNAcentral.
GACGAACGCUGGCGGCGUGCUUAAUACAUGCAAGUCAACUUGACUUUAGAUAGCAAUAUCGAAAAGUAGGGUGGCGCACGGGUGCGUAACGCGUAGGUAAUCUGCCCUGAGGUCUGACAUAACCCGUCGAAAGGCGGGCUAACAUCAGAUGAUAUAUAAUCACGACAUCGUGGAAAUAUCAAAUCUUCGGAGCCUUGGGAUGAGCCUGCGUCUGAUUAGGUAGUUGGCGGAGUAAUAGCCCACCAAGCCUACGAUCAGUAGCUGGUCUGAGAGGAUGAUCAGCCACACUGGAACUGAGACACGGUCCAGACUCCUACGGGAGGCAGCAGUAAGGAAUAUCGCUCAAUGGGGGAAACCCUGAAGCAGCAACGCCGCGUGAAGGAUGAAUACUUUGUAUGUAAACUUCUGUAAGAUGGGAAAAUAUUCUCCUCGG